Molecule: long non-coding RNA, 1308 nt
Filed under: Citrus x clementina
Lineage: Eukaryota; Viridiplantae; Streptophyta; Magnoliopsida; Sapindales; Rutaceae
Description: Citrus clementina (C. clementina) long non-coding RNA (CCLE_LNC001407)
Source: RNAcentral
AAUAUUUUUUAUUUUUUUGCAAAUUCACAGAUUUUUGUGAAUUUAUAGAAGUAAAUCCAUAUCCAAUCUACCGAUUGCGGAUUUUCAAAUUUUCAAUCCAAUCUAAUCUACCAAUUCACGGAUCGAAUUUCUACGUAUCAGAUGGAUUGAGCAGAUUGGAUUGGAUUAUGAACACUCCUACUAGAAAUCACAAUCAUUUCUAUUAUCAAUUGGAAAUGCUAGAUCAAUUAUUAUUGACUUGAAAAAUAACUAGAGUUUUGAACACAAGUUUAAGAACACGUUCUGACGGCAUAACAUAUAAUACCACGUCAAAUUAUUUAAGAUUUUCCAAAUUGCAGUUGACAAGAAACAAAUCAUCAAUCAAUUUUGGAUAUAAAAUUUUACUGGUUAAUUUUAUGGCGAAGAGAAUUAUAAUUAAAUAAAAUUUAUGAGAUUUUUUUUGAAGAAAAAAAAUUAUGAGAUUAUUCUUUAGUUUUGAUCCCUUUUUCUGGAAGUGUUACUUAGUUUUGAGAAAUUUACUAGAUUAUUCCCAUUUUUCAUUUUUAUUUUUCUAUCAAAAUGGUAAUUUUAUUAGCUAAAAAUUUGUAAAAAAAAAUAAAGUUAAUGAAAGAUAACUCCAUUUAAGAGAGAAAAAAAGUUGAGGUUAAAUAUCACUAUUAAAAAAAAAAUUCCAAAAAAAAAACUUAGCUGCUAAUGACUCUCUUCCUCAAUGGCGUUUAUCACUCGACCACUUGUCAAGCGUUUCAAUAAAAAAUUUUACAUCUUACUCUUUUUCUAUCUUGCUGCUAAUGUAUUUUCUUCUUCCUCAAUCUGCUGAUUCAAUGUAUUAUCUUUUUCCUACCUUUGUUAUUCUUAAUUUUUUCCCUUAAGCUCCGGCUUUCAUUCCCGUUCAAACUUAUCAACUUGUGCCACCUUUCCUUCAUUUAGUUUCCUCCAAUAACUUAAAUCAGAAAAAUGUUUUAUUAGCAUUAUAUUUUGUAAAACUGCACAUUACAGAAUAAACAUUUUACGUUUGGGGUUUAGCUGUUAUAUUCAGAAAACGCAGACGAAAUAUAUGGUGCAUAUAAUUUAAUUGUGUUCGCAAAUCAACUGUUUUGUCAUGCCAUUUAUGUUUUCAAGUCUUAAAAAUCAAUGAAUUAACUGCUACAACCUUAGAAGUUAAAUCAGUACGAUCAACAUGACCACGCUCGAAAAUGUGAGCAUUGUCGAUGAUUGUUGUCACCGUUAUUAUUAUCGAUUGUUUUAUAUUUUCUUUAAUUGUCAUAAUUAUGUGGGUAUUAACCACUAUGUGGUAUAAUAAAAAUAUGG